AAGUCGUCAGCGUGUCGAAAAAAAAACCGAUUUGCAUAUUUACACCUACACAAGUGCAAACAGCACCCACACUCGUGCACACACACACAGGUACUAACACUCACACACACACAUAACUUGCAUACAAUAAAUCUAGUGACGUCUCGAGAGAAAGACGUCACGUACAAAGAAGAGGUUGGCGAAAAGUAAGAGAAGCUGGAUACGUUGCUUUUCCUGUUUCCUGCUUAAGUUCCUGCCCAGCUCUUGUUGUGUUGGGAAAUCCUUGCAGUCGGCGAGGAUGGUUCGCUUACCCCCCCCCCCCCCAAAUAGCCUGAAUGCCGAGCAGAAGGUCCUUGCAUCCUGCUCCUCAUGCUCACCGCAAAGUGACGGUGAAAAAUCGUCGCCAGUUCACAUGAAAAUUGAAAUGAAAAUGAAAAUGAAAAGAAAAUCGAGCUCAUCAUGUGUAUAUAAAAAUACAUAUUUUCCACUCUACCUCGACUGCGUUGAUAAUGAGCACCAUUGAGCGGGAAAGGGGGAAAACUAAGGAACUGGAUUUAUAUUCAUACGGAGUACGGAGAAAAGUGCUUUGUUAAUACUUUCGGCGUAAAGACUUUUCAGAAUAACAGAUUUCGUCGAAUAGCUCAGUCGGAAUGAAGUAUUAAAUUGUAGCAUUCAGCGGGUUAACUAAAUUU
Molecule: non-coding RNA, 671 nt
Organism: Drosophila melanogaster (fruit fly)
Lineage: Eukaryota; Metazoa; Arthropoda; Insecta; Diptera; Drosophilidae
Source: Ensembl